RNAcentral lists this ribosomal RNA (496 nucleotides) under uncultured bacterium. Its description in RNAcentral is "partial 16S ribosomal RNA". It matches the Rfam family "Bacterial small subunit ribosomal RNA", at positions 28 to 507 of the family's 1533-position model. The record is from RNAcentral.
GAUGAACGCUGUGGCGUGCCUAAUACAUGCAAGUCGAGCGAACAGAUAAGGAGCUUGCUCCUUUGACGUUAGCGGCGGACGGGUGAGUAACACGUGGGUAACCUACCUAUAAGACUGGGAUAACUUCGGGAAACCGGAGCUAAUACCGGAUAACAUUUGGAACCGCAUGGUUCUAAAGUGAAAGAUGGUUUUGCUAUCACUUAUAGAUGGACCCGCGCCGUAUUAGCUAGUUGGUAAGGUAACGGCUUACCAAGGCAACGAUACGUAGCCGACCUGAGAGGGUGAUCGGCCACACUGGAACUGAGACACGGUCCAGACUCCUACGGGAGGCAGCAGUAGGGAAUCUUCCGCAAUGGGCGAAAGCCUGACGGAGCAACGCCGCGUGAGUGAUGAAGGGUUUCGGCUCGUAAAACUCUGUUAUUAGGGAAGAACAAAUGUGUAAGUAACUGUGCACGUCUUGACGGUACCUAAUCAGAAAGCCACGGCUAACUACGUG